AUAACUAAAAAAUGAAAUGCAAAUUGUUCAAGACAAACUAUAUUUAACAUAAUUGGAACUGCAUUUGCAGCUAACUUGCUGCAGAUGUGCGGAGACGUGUCGUUGGGCAGCUAUUCGGUCAGCAGCUUUCAACAUUGUGGUCAAAGGUCGUGAAGGUUGGGCGGGACAGGCGAGCAGUAGUUGCGGCACAACGUUGCCGCUGACCUCGCCCGCAUCAUCAACAGCUGUUAAAGCGUGGCCAGGGGCCAGCUCCUGGCAUCAGGCGAUCGAUGAUCGCAUCGCGGAACAGCAGCUGCAAUCCCAGUGUGCGCACUCUGCAGAUCCAUCUGUGCACUGAGAGAAACGCAUGCUUGCACCUCAAAAUGCUGCAGUUGUUGCGACUUGUGCUCGGCCAGCUAUGUGAGCCACUUUUUCACAGCUGUUCAGGGCAUCAUUUUCUAUGUCCAGCUACCUUUAAGGUUCUUGUCGAUACGCACGCUCCGGGAGCUCGUGAACAGGAACCUUCGCGAUAUAUUGAAUCCUCAGCUUCAAGAUGCGACAGCGCUUUACACUAUUUCGGCCAGUAAAUGGCAUCAGCAGCAAUUGAGCAAUGCUAGAGCCCAGUAACUUGCACGGGGUGCAAGCGCCUUGUUUAUCUCCAAGUAAAUGGCCACACGAGACUACAAACGACUGCAGACUGUGCUGCUGUUACCAGUUGCUGACCCAAAUGUGAAAAGCGCUGUUGCAUCUUGAAGGGCUAAGAAAAAAUGUGCAGAUAGUUGAAGAAUCCAGCCCAACUACCUGGAUACCACAACAGGAGCACACCUCGACAAGCGGCCAAAACCCAACGGUUGGGAGGAACACAUGACAUUUGCCAAGCGCCACAAUUUGGGCAUUUUGAUCGCUUGCCUCGUCGAGCACAUGUGGCAAUGAGUGCAGCAUUUUGAGGGCCAACCAUACGAUUCUCUCAAUGUUCAGAUGGUUCUGCAGAUUGCACACACUGGCGUCGCCGCUGCAGUUCGACGACGCUAUGGCCGAUCGGGCGAUGCAGGAGGAGUCUGAAGGAUUGAAUGGUGCUGCUUUAACUGGAUGGAUUCAAUCUGACGUGUAGGUGUGCGGAAACGGAAAUGCUGUGCCUCGACUGCUGCUCGUCUGUCCAGACCGACACGUCCUAUGACUGGAAUGUUGCAGGCUGCUUACCGAACAGCUGCUCCACGACACUAUCUACAGGUCUGGUACGACCUGACCAGUUCUCCAGUAGAGUGGCAAGACCCGAUACAAAAUACUGUUUAGUCUGUUUAAAUUGCAUUCCAAUAAAAUUCAAUGCAGCAUCAAAUGCA
This is a non-coding RNA of Drosophila virilis, 1319 nucleotides long. The record is from RefSeq and is a predicted model, not a curated record. Lineage: Eukaryota; Metazoa; Arthropoda; Insecta; Diptera; Drosophilidae.